GACAUGCUCUCCGUCAUGCACAGAAGUGUCAUAUAGCAGUGACACUGAAAACUUUACAAAAAGAGUGACGUUUCAGGAUACUGCCCAUCCGAAAGGAAAGAUCAGCUGGGACUAUGUUCUUGGAUCUGAUGCUGCUCAUAACCAUUGCAACUGUCUCCAAGUCUGGCCAAAAUUGAUCAGUUUUGGCUGGAGAUCAUCUACAUCUAUAGAAUGCUCAUUCUAAACUAGAUAGUACAUAGGUGUACUAAGCCUUUAAAAAAUGUGUGUAUAUGACUGUCUGGAUAACGUAAUAAAAGUACAAGUGUGGCAGGCACUAGAAUAUGGGCCUGUGAUCUUAUGGAUAUACUGCAAUCAUUACAACCUGCUUGGCAAACAUAUGAAGAAUUAACAAAUGGCAGCCACAGGAGGACAAACCGCACACAGAAGCCUGCCCCAUGCUAAGUGGUCCAUUUGCAAACACUGCUCCACUCUUUCAGUGCAAGUCUACCAGUCUGGUCUGACUGAUUAAAAAUACUGAACUCUUUAUUUGGCUAAGAUUUUAUCUGAGUAGCUGUCAAUCUGGGAUGCUGAUUGAAUGCCAUGGAAUACUGUGCAGUUAGCCCAAUGAGAAAAGGUUUACAAAUCUGCAUAUAAAAUAGAAUAAGUAAAAUCUGCACUUCCAAAAUAACUUUGAUUGCAAAUAUUACAGUAAUUACUCAAAUUAUGUACUCACUGAAAAUUUACCCCAGUAUCCCUUUAAAUAUAAACGCUGUGAAUAGUAGCUAGACUCCCAGCCACGCUGCAUUAAUUAAUUGUUCAGUAAUGCAAUGUAAAUGUGAAGAUAACAAUGAUAAUUACUAUCAAAUUAUUGUUAUUAUGUCAUUGCAAUGCAACUAAUACAAUGUAUGUACCCAUUAUAAUCUAUCUAUCUAUCUAUCUA
This is a long non-coding RNA of Rana temporaria (common frog), 919 nucleotides long. RefSeq lists it as uncharacterized. The record is from RefSeq and is a predicted model, not a curated record. The transcript is spliced from 3 exons. NCBI's taxonomy places the organism in Eukaryota, Metazoa, Chordata, Amphibia, Anura, Ranidae.